GCCGAGCAAAGAUGGAGAGGAGGUCCCAGCCCCCGGGGCGCGGUGUUGCGCACGCGGGGGAGCUGGGCCGGGGAUAUGCGCACGUGUGCGCACGCGGCGGACAGGGACUAGGGGUGCACGUGCGUAUAUAAGCACCUGGGGAGGGGGACAGAAGCUGAGGAGGUGUGCACCUGUGCAUGUACACGGGUGUGUGUGCAUCCGGGGAAUGGGGGGUAGGAGUGUGUAUACACGUGUGGGCACAUGAGGAACAGGGGCAAAGUGUGCAGGUUUCCACCCGGCCGCGGACGGUUUCCCAAUUUAACCGCUUUUAUGCUGAUCACGCCCACUCUGCUUCUCCAGUAAAGCCCCUCCCGGCCUAAGACUGUUCACACCUUAGCGCUGGUUUCUUGAAGGGAGCAGAGAUAUUCGCGUUCUUUCUCUUCAGUACGCGGCACUCAGAGAAACCGGGAUCCAGGAGGAAGAGGCACAUGGAAGUUCCUGGGCAAGGCGUCGAAUCUGAGCUGCAGCUGCUGGCCUACACCACAGGCAACGCCGGAUCCUUAACCCAGUGAGCAAGGAGAGGAAUCGAACCCAUAUCCAGCCAUUUUCUGUUUUCCACCGCAGCGAUGAUGACAAGAGGAUGCAGAAAUUGCCAGGCAGGGGAUUGAACCCACACCACAGCCGCAACCCGAGCCACUGCGGUGACAACACAAAUCCUUAAGCUGCUGAGCCACAGGACUCCAGGAUUAGUCAAUCUUAAGGACUCACAUGACUACUUACAGGCUGAAGCCACAGUCCUUUGAGAAGCUCCCCUUGGACCCGACAGCUUCUAGAAGAUCACGGCACCCAGUCUCCCCAGAUGUCUCCUUCCGGCCUCGUUUGCUACUUGAGCGCCCGUCUCUGCUCUUCCUCCGAAACGCCCACCUUGGCCAGGAGAGUAAUUCCUUUCAUCCCCUGACCACCAACCCUGCCGUCCAGCGCGGUGUCCUUCUGGGUGAUUUCAUGUUGCUGAGAUGACAUCGGGCUGUUUUUUAUGGAACCCCACAACGGAAGGUCCGAGGUCCUUCUCCUCGUGUCAUUUCCCUCCUCAGUAGAACCCAUGACCAUCGGCCAGGAGGGAAAGUGCCAGGAGCCAACAGCACGAUUUUGGGAAACUUGAUUUUAUGUUCAACCGAAUGCCUCUGCUCACGUCCCUACUGCUGUCCCCUUACCUCGCCGAGUCAGAGAAGGGCCCUGCAGCUUACCCACUGCAAUGAGGCUGGGGUGACCUCGGGAGGUCAAUGAGCUCGGAUGAGUGAUCUCAGCUCCUCUCUGGCUCAGAUUUCUUUAGCUGAGAAAUAAGAAAAUAAAAAAUAAAGUUCUUUAUAAG
RNAcentral lists this long non-coding RNA (1348 nucleotides) under Sus scrofa (pig). RNAcentral describes it as "lncRNA (multiple genes)". Lineage: Eukaryota; Metazoa; Chordata; Mammalia; Artiodactyla; Suidae. The record is from RNAcentral.